AUGGCCCAUAUUUCAUCUUGGCAAAAAAAAAAAAAAAAAAAAAAACACCCAAAAAAGCAUAAAGCAUCCAGACCGUGGGUUUUGAAAGGAUCUUUGCCAAUGCAAGACGAGGCCGAGGCUCCCAAGGGAGCAGGGUACCUCAAGGUACCCUUGCUGAGGUACGAGACCCCCGUCUGUGCCAGGGGGGCUCCGACCUGGCCGGGGGGUGCCCGCUCCUGCCUCGCCCCCAGCUGUGCAAUGCUCCGCUCCUCCCCAUGGCUUUGAUGGGAAGGAACCCAAAGCAGCAGCCCCGAAACACUUCAGCUCCUGGUAUCUCAGUUCAACACGAGCUAGAGGCAUCCUGAAUUUUUAGCCAAACCAAUUCCUUACCAAGUUUCCAGCCAAAUUCGCAGACCCGAGAGAGUCCGUGAAUCACAGAUCAGCAGCCAGACUUCUUCUCCAUAAACUUGCUUCCAAUUACAAAUGGGCGAACGUAAUAUAUGGAGUCAUUAAUCGGUCAAAAAUAACACCAGGAAUUUGAUGUAAUGGGAUCAAUGCUUAGACACAAUGACGAGAACUAAAAACAUUCAGUGUGUGUGCAAAAUUAAAGCUCCCUGGCCAGUAAAAUGAAUUUACUUUUCAAUGCUUCCCUGUACCUUGGCUACCCAGCAUUUAAUGCUGUGUUUGACUUCAAACAUUGCGGGAUGGCUUUGUUUUGGUCACACACACAGUGACCUCCUCUUAGCAUUUAUUCCUCAGGAGGACGGAUUUUGUUUAAAGCAGAACUUUCAGGCUGAAAGGAUUAAUCUUUUGUGUGCUUUCUUCUUCAAAGGGUUUUUAAGAAGGAAUAUAUUUGUUUCAUAGUUUUAUGAAUAUAUAGUUGGUGUGAGUGCUCGCUCCCUUCCCCCUGCUCCCCGGCUUGUUUACUCAGGGACUAAAAACUUGACCUUGGCUUUAAGGUCUCUGGUUUUCCAGACUGUACAGUCAGCAGAGAGAAAGGGGAAAAAUCAAUGCAAGGAGAAGAGAAAUGCCUGAGUGCUGGGAACUCAUCCUGGAAAUGGAAACUACUGAGGUAAUUUGUAAGGCAAAGCUCAUCCCACCGAUACGUUGCUUGCGGCUAAAACCCCACAUCCCACCUUCCGCUUUCUUCACCCCCUCUCUCCCCAGGUGCCCAACACAUCCUAGGGGCCGUCAGAGGAUGGGGACACACCGUGUUUAACACAAACCCAGUGAUGGAGAUCUGGCACAGGGUCUGGCAGUGCCCCAGCUCCCAGCUCUGUCCCCG
RNAcentral lists this long non-coding RNA (1264 nucleotides) under Anas platyrhynchos platyrhynchos (common mallard). RNAcentral describes it as "lncRNA (ENSAPLG00000023459.1)". The record is from RNAcentral. Lineage: Eukaryota; Metazoa; Chordata; Aves; Anseriformes; Anatidae.